RNAcentral lists this ribosomal RNA (253 nucleotides) under uncultured bacterium. RNAcentral describes it as "partial 16S ribosomal RNA". It matches the Rfam family "Bacterial small subunit ribosomal RNA", at positions 524 to 776 of the family's 1533-position model. The record is from RNAcentral.
UACGGGGGGGGCAAGCGUUGUUCGGAAUUACUGGGCGUAAAGCGCACGUAGGCGGAUCAGCAAGUUAGGGGUGAAAUCCCGGGGCUCAACCCCGGAACUGCCUUUAAAACUGUUGGUCUGGAGGUCGAGAGAGGUGAGUGGAAUUCCGAGUGUAGAGGUGAAAUUCGUAGAUAUUCGGAGGAACACCAGUGGCGAAGGCGGCUCACUGGCUCGAUACUGACGCUGAGGUGCGAAAGCGUGGGGAGCAAACAGG